This 82-nucleotide transfer RNA is filed under the name Microbacterium sp. 77mftsu3.1. Its description in RNAcentral is "tRNA_Tyr_GTA". It matches the Rfam family "tRNA". Rfam says of the family: Transfer RNA (tRNA) molecules are approximately 80 nucleotides in length. Their secondary structure includes four short double-helical elements and three loops (D, anti-codon, and T loops). Lineage: Bacteria; Bacillati; Actinomycetota; Actinomycetes; Micrococcales; Microbacteriaceae. The record is from RNAcentral.
GGGAGGGUCGCGUAGCGGCUAUCGCAGCGGACUGUAACUCCGCCGCCUUCGGGCACCGCGGGUUCGAAUCCCGCUCCUCCCA